This 2932-nucleotide ribosomal RNA is filed under the name Escherichia coli. RNAcentral describes it as "23S ribosomal RNA". It matches the Rfam family "Bacterial large subunit ribosomal RNA". Lineage: Bacteria; Pseudomonadati; Pseudomonadota; Gammaproteobacteria; Enterobacterales; Enterobacteriaceae. The record is from RNAcentral.
GGGUUGUGAGGUUAAGCGACUAAGCGUACACGGUGGAUGCCCUGGCAGUCAGAGGCGAUGAAGGACGUGCUAAUCUGCGAUAAGCGUCGGUAAGGUGAUAUGAACCGUUAUAACCGGCGAUUUCCGAAUGGGGAAACCCAGUGUGAUUCGUCACACUAUCAUUAACUGAAUCCAUAGGUUAAUGAGGCGAACCGGGGGAACUGAAACAUCUAAGUACCCCGAGGAAAAGAAAUCAACCGAGAUUCCCCCAGUAGCGGCGAGCGAACGGGGAGCAGCCCAGAGCCUGAAUCAGUGUGUGUGUUAGUGGAAGCGUCUGGAAAGGCGCGCGAUACAGGGUGACAGCCCCGUACACAAAAAUGCACAUGCUGUGAGCUCGAUGAGUAGGGCGGGACACGUGGUAUCCUGUCUGAAUAUGGGGGGACCAUCCUCCAAGGCUAAAUACUCCUGACUGACCGAUAGUGAACCAGUACCGUGAGGGAAAGGCGAAAAGAACCCCGGCGAGGGGAGUGAAAAAGAACCUGAAACCGUGUACGUACAAGCAGUGGGAGCACAGAGCAAUCUGUGUGACUGCGUACCUUUUGUAUAAUGGGUCAGCGACUUAUAUUCUGUAGCAAGGUUAACCGAAUAGGGGAGCCGAAGGGAAACCGAGUCUUAACUGGGCGUUAAGUUGCAGGGUAUAGACCCGAAACCCGGUGAUCUAGCCAUGGGCAGGUUGAAGGUUGGGUAACACUAACUGGAGGACCGAACCGACUAAUGUUGAAAAAUUAGCGGAUGACUUGUGGCUGGGGGUGAAAGGCCAAUCAAACCGGGAGAUAGCUGGUUCUCCCCGAAAGCUAUUUAGGUAGCGCCUCGUGAAUUCAUCUCCGGGGGUAGAGCACUGUUUCGGCAAGGGGGUCAUCCCGACUUACCAACCCGAUGCAAACUGCGAAUACCGGAGAAUGUUAUCACGGGAGACACACGGCGGGUGCUAACGUCCGUCGUGAAGAGGGAAACAACCCAGACCGCCAGCUAAGGUCCCAAAGUCAUGGUUAAGUGGGAAACGAUGUGGGAAGGCCCAGACAGCCAGGAUGUUGGCUUAGAAGCAGCCAUCAUUUAAAGAAAGCGUAAUAGCUCACUGGUCGAGUCGGCCUGCGCGGAAGAUGUAACGGGGCUAAACCAUGCACCGAAGCUGCGGCAGCGACACUAUGUGUUGUUGGGUAGGGGAGCGUUCUGUAAGCCUGUGAAGGUGUGCUGUGAGGCAUGCUGGAGGUAUCAGAAGUGCGAAUGCUGACAUAAGUAACGAUAAAGCGGGUGAAAAGCCCGCUCGCCGGAAGACCAAGGGUUCCUGUCCAACGUUAAUCGGGGCAGGGUGAGUCGACCCCUAAGGCGAGGCCGAAAGGCGUAGUCGAUGGGAAACAGGUUAAUAUUCCUGUACUUGGUGUUACUGCGAAGGGGGGACGGAGAAGGCUAUGUUGGCCGGGCGACGGUUGUCCCGGUUUAAGCGUGUAGGCUGGUUUUCCAGGCAAAUCCGGAAAAUCAAGGCUGAGGCGUGAUGACGAGGCACUACGGUGCUGAAGCAACAAAUGCCCUGCUUCCAGGAAAAGCCUCUAAGCAUCAGGUAACAUCAAAUCGUACCCCAAACCGACACAGGUGGUCAGGUAGAGAAUACCAAGGCGCUUGAGAGAACUCGGGUGAAGGAACUAGGCAAAAUGGUGCCGUAACUUCGGGAGAAGGCACGCUGAUAUGUAGGUGAAGCGACUUGCUCGUGGAGCUGAAAUCAGUCGAAGAUACCAGCUGGCUGCAACUGUUUAUUAAAAACACAGCACUGUGCAAACACGAAAGUGGACGUAUACGGUGUGACGCCUGCCCGGUGCCGGAAGGUUAAUUGAUGGGGUUAGCGCAAGCGAAGCUCUUGAUCGAAGCCCCGGUAAACGGCGGCCGUAACUAUAACGGUCCUAAGGUAGCGAAAUUCCUUGUCGGGUAAGUUCCGACCUGCACGAAUGGCGUAAUGAUGGCCAGGCUGUCUCCACCCGAGACUCAGUGAAAUUGAACUCGCUGUGAAGAUGCAGUGUACCCGCGGCAAGACGGAAAGACCCCGUGAACCUUUACUAUAGCUUGACACUGAACAUUGAGCCUUGAUGUGUAGGAUAGGUGGGAGGCUUUGAAGUGUGGACGCCAGUCUGCAUGGAGCCGACCUUGAAAUACCACCCUUUAAUGUUUGAUGUUCUAACGUGGACCCGUAAUCCGGGUUGCGGACAGUGUCUGGUGGGUAGUUUGACUGGGGCGGUCUCCUCCUAAAGAGUAACGGAGGAGCACGAAGGUUGGCUAAUCCUGGUCGGACAUCAGGAGGUUAGUGCAAUGGCAUAAGCCAGCUUGACUGCGAGCGUGACGGCGCGAGCAGGUGCGAAAGCAGGUCAUAGUGAUCCGGUGGUUCUGAAUGGAAGGGCCAUCGCUCAACGGAUAAAAGGUACUCCGGGGAUAACAGGCUGAUACCGCCCAAGAGUUCAUAUCGACGGCGGUGUUUGGCACCUCGAUGUCGGCUCAUCACAUCCUGGGGCUGAAGUAGGUCCCAAGGGUAUGGCUGUUCGCCAUUUAAAGUGGUACGCGAGCUGGGUUUAGAACGUCGUGAGACAGUUCGGUCCCUAUCUGCCGUGGGCGCUGGAGAACUGAGGGGGGCUGCUCCUAGUACGAGAGGACCGGAGUGGACGCAUCACUGGUGUUCGGGUUGUCAUGCCAAUGGCACUGCCCGGUAGCUAAAUGCGGAAGAGAUAAGUGCUGAAAGCAUCUAAGCACGAAACUUGCCCCGAGAUGAGUUCUCCCUGACUCCUUGAGAGUCCUGAAGGAACGUUGAAGACGACGACGUUGAUAGGCCGGGUGUGUAAGCGCAGCGAUGCGUUGAGCUAACCGGUACUAAUGAACCGUGAGGCUUAACCUUACAACGCCGAAGGUGUUU